Long non-coding RNA from Aphis gossypii (cotton aphid), 442 nucleotides. RefSeq lists it as uncharacterized. The transcript is spliced from 3 exons. The record is from RefSeq and is a predicted model, not a curated record. NCBI's taxonomy places the organism in Eukaryota, Metazoa, Arthropoda, Insecta, Hemiptera, Aphididae.
GUACUGUAUACACAAUGUGUACGUCAUAUAUGUAAGUACUCAAAAGUCGACUUUAGUAGGAUCCGUAACGUAUACUAGGUUUCAUCAAGUGCACACAAGUAAAACUAAAUGUCAAGUCGAAAAAUGUUUUCACGUAAAAAGGUACGCUGUGAGCAACAAUUGUCUGUAAGACAUCGGUUAUUACACAAAAAUCGAUUAAAUUUCGGUUGGUACAGACGCGUCCCGAAGCACAGUGCAGAUCAAAGUCUUAACGCCAUUGCUCAUUGUAUCAUAAAUCAUUGCGGCCGUGGAUGAUCGUAACAUUGUAAUAUUACGAGAUAUUUACAGCUACGUCAAUGGGUCGUUGGGAUGAUUAUUUUGUUCACGAUGCCCGACUAUCACAGAGACAGAACGUCCGGUAAAUUGGUUUUCGUCCUACGACUAUUUAUUCUCAGUACAAAAA